Molecule: unclassified non-coding RNA, 434 nt
Filed under: uncultured fungus
Lineage: Eukaryota; Fungi
Description: sequence contains ITS1, 5.8S rRNA gene
Source: RNAcentral
UUAACUUAUUAUAAUAUUACUCAGACAAUACAAAAAUCAAGAGUUUAGGUCCUCUGGCAGACACGGACCAGCUUAAAGCCAGUAGUCAAAAGACAGGCCUGCCAAAGCAACAAAGGUAAUAUAAACAAAGGGUGGGAGAUCUACCCCAAAGGGCAAUUCUCUGUAAUGAUCCUUCCGCAGGUUCACCUACGGAACGCUAUAGUCUACAACCCUUUCCCAGGUUCACCUACGGAACGCUAUAGUCUACAACCCUUUCAGAAGUAGGCCGGUCAUAUCUGAAUCCAAGAGAGCCCUCUUGGACCACCUUCGUUUGAUCUGUGAACUGCUAUAAGCAGCUGCAUGUUACCCUGACGGUAUCCAAGCACAGUGAAGAUGUUGCCUAUGUAGGUAGACUUGUAUCCAAGGCUUCUGCAGGUGUUGUUCUGCCAGAGAAA